Molecule: ribosomal RNA, 511 nt
Filed under: uncultured Variovorax sp.
Lineage: Bacteria; Pseudomonadati; Pseudomonadota; Betaproteobacteria; Burkholderiales; Comamonadaceae
Description: bacterial SSU rRNA
Rfam family: Bacterial small subunit ribosomal RNA
Source: RNAcentral
AUACAUCGGAACGUGCCCAAUCGUGGGGGAUAACGCAGCGAAAGCUGUGCUAAUACCGCAUACGAUCUACGGAUGAAAGCAGGGGAUCGCAAGACCUUGCGCGAAUGGAGCGGCCGAUGGCAGAUUAGGUAGUUGGUGAGGUAAAGGCUCACCAAGCCUUCGAUCUGUAGCUGGUCUGAGAGGACGACCAGCCACACUGGGACUGAGACACGGCCCAGACUCCUACGGGAGGCAGCAGUGGGGAAUUUUGGACAAUGGGCGAAAGCCUGAUCCAGCCAUGCCGCGUGCAGGAUGAAGGCCUUCGGGUUGUAAACUGCUUUUGUACGGAACGAAACGGCCUUUUCUAAUAAAGAGGGCUAAUGACGGUACCGUAAGAAUAAGCACCGGCUAACUACGUGCCAGCAGCCGCGGUAAUACGUAGGUGCAAGCGUUAAUCAAUUACUGGGGUAGCGUGCGCAGCGUUAUGUAAGACAGUUGUGAAAUCCCCGGGCUCAACCUGCGAACUGCAUCU